This 621-nucleotide ribosomal RNA is filed under the name uncultured bacterium. RNAcentral's name for it is "bacterial SSU rRNA". It matches the Rfam family "Bacterial small subunit ribosomal RNA", at positions 338 to 951 of the family's 1533-position model. The record is from RNAcentral.
CCUACGGGAGGCAGCAGUGGGGAAUAUUGGACAAUGGGCGGAAGCCUGAUCCAGCCAUGCCGCGUGUGUGAAGAAGGCCUUUUGGUUGUAAAGCACUUUAAGCGAGGAGGAGGCUACUAGUAUUAAUACUACUGGAUAGUGGACGUUACUCGCAGAAUAAGCACCGGCUAACUCUGUGCCAGCAGCCGCGGUAAUACAGAGGGUGCGAGCGUUAAUCGGAUUUACUGGGCGUAAAGCGUGCGUAGGCGGCUGAUUAAGUCGGAUGUGAAAUCCCUGAGCUUAACUUAGGAAUUGCAUUCGAUACUGGUCAGCUAGAGUAUGGGAGAGGAUGGUAGAAUUCCAGGUGUAGCGGUGAAAUGCGUAGAGAUCUGGAGGAAUACCGAUGGCGAAGGCAGCCAUCUGGCCUAAUACUGACGCUGAGGUACGAAAGCAUGGGGAGCAAACAGGAUUAGAUACCCUGGUAGUCCAUGCCGUAAACGAUGUCUACUAGCCGUUGGGGUCUUUGAGACUUUAGUGGCGCAGCUAACGCGAUAAGUAGACCGCCGUGGGGAGUACGGUCGCAGACUAAACGUCAAAUUGAAUUGACGGCUUGAGGCGNGCGACGGCGCGAGAGGGAGGAGG